GACGAACGCUGGCGGCGUGCCUAAUACAUGCAAGUAGAACGCUGAAGAGAGGAGCUUGCUCUUCUUGAAUGAGUUGCGAACGGGUGAGUAACGCGUAGGUAACCUGCCUUGUAGCGGGGGAUAACUAUUGGAAACGAUAGCUAAUACCGCAUAACAAUGGGUGACACAUGUCAUUUAUUUGAAAGGGGCAAUUGCUCCACUACAAGAUGGACCUGCGUUGUAUUAGCUAGUAGGUGAGGUAACGGCUCACCUAGGCGACGAUACAUAGCCGACCUGAGAGGGUGAUCGGCCACACUGGGACUGAGACACGGCCCAGACUCCUACGGGAGGCAGCAGUAGGGAAUCUUCGGCAGUGGGGGCAACCCUGACCGAGCAACGCCGCGUGAGUGAAGAAGGUUUUCGGAUCGUAAAGCUCUGUUGUAAGUCAAGAACGAGUGUGAGAGUGGAAAGUUCACACUGUGACGGUAGCUUACCAGAAAGGGACGGCUAACUACGUGCCAGCAGCCGCGGUAAUACGUAGGUCCCGAGCGUUGUCCGGAUUUAUUGGGCGUAAAGCGAGCGCAGGCGGUUUGAUAAGUCUGAAGUUAAAGGCUGUGGCUCAACCAUAGUUCGCUUUGGAAACUGUCAAACUUGAGUGCAGAAGGGGAGAGUGGAAUUCCAUGUGUAGCGGUGAAAUGCGUAGAUAUAUGGAGGAACACCGGUGGCGAAAGCGGCUCUCUGGUCUGUAACUGACGCUGAGGCUCGAAAGCGUGGGGAGCGAACAGG
This 765-nucleotide ribosomal RNA is filed under the name uncultured Streptococcus sp. RNAcentral's name for it is "bacterial SSU rRNA". It matches the Rfam family "Bacterial small subunit ribosomal RNA", at positions 28 to 776 of the family's 1533-position model. Lineage: Bacteria; Bacillati; Bacillota; Bacilli; Lactobacillales; Streptococcaceae. The record is from RNAcentral.